This 1289-nucleotide long non-coding RNA is filed under the name Triticum aestivum (bread wheat). RNAcentral's name for it is "long non-coding RNA (TAES_LNC017107)". Lineage: Eukaryota; Viridiplantae; Streptophyta; Magnoliopsida; Poales; Poaceae. The record is from RNAcentral.
AAGCAUAAAGUCAAUGUCCUGCUAUGCCGCAUAAUUACAGUGCUUUCACAUUAUGGUAAAUUUGUUUCCUACAAGUAAAAUCAUUGUUAGUGCCAAUUCAUGGUGCAGGACAAGUAAGCCAUCCACACGAAGUCGACGGCAGCAAGGGUGUGGGGCGUCGGGAGGAGCAUCUGGGUUGAAGGUUCUGACCCUCGCCAUUGAGACUACGUAUCGUGGUCGUCGCCGAGUAAAUCUGGUAUGUACGCAACGAACCUCCCUAAUGCAAUGCCGCUGCUGUUUAUUUCAUCUUUUGAUUGCGAGAGACUAUAUUCAACGAACCUACAUAUUUUGAUCAAUUAUUUUAAUUAUAUUAGCAAUGGGAGCUUGCUGUUCAGUGAGGAUUUCCCCCCUUAAAGUCAUAUUGUUAAUAUCCAAAAAAAUUAAUGGUUCGGUGGUGAUGUCCCACUGCUUUGCCCUUUUAAUUCCAGCACUUAAAUAAGAAUUGGAGGGCAGACAUUGCACAAAUGGAUCAUGUGGCAUUUACUAUUGUUGUAUUAUCAUAUCUAGCAUCUCUCUAUCAAAAAAUAAAUCUAGCAUUAAUUUUGAACUUCUGAUGAUGUAAGGUAAACACAGAGGCAUAUCUCCAUCAUAGUUGCAUCCUUUAUAGCAGAGAUUUUGUUAUGAAAAAUUUAUUUUGUUGAUGGAAACCUUUGUGCUUCUGUCACUUAAGACGUGAAGUUUUUGUAGACAAGCUUAGGACGUGAAGUUGGAUGCAACAUCUAUAGAUCUACUGAGACUAAAAGGUGGUUGUUAGUUAGGUUCUGAUUGUGCCAAUCAAUAAUACACAAUUGUUACUAGGGUUUGGCUAGGGAUGCCAUCCAUCAACUCCUGUUUUAAAGUGUGCUUGUGAGAUGCAAUCCGAUCUCUCUAUCUUUCCCGCUGAGAUGCAGAGGAGCUCGGUGUUUUAGGGUUUGGUUGUUGCUGCAGGGGAAGGUGGAGCUGCGAGGAAACAAGACAGGUGGACAAUGCGACAGGAAGCAAGAACGAAUUUCUAAUCAAUCUACUGUCUCCCUUGAGUCGGGGUGAACGUACUGACGCACCACGUUGUGUUUAUUGAUCUGGAAUCCUAGAGGAUCACCCACCCUCAUAAUUCAGUAUUGAGAUGAUCUCCUUAAUUUCUCAAAUGUGUUUUAUUAAAUUGGAUUCCUGUAAUUAUCAUUGCUCUAAUUUGAUAGUUUUACCCUCCCAAGCAUGUUGUGCUUCCAUAAAAACAUGAAUAUUUCUCAGCCAUUUUAUUGAAAAUGUAGUCG